This 71-nucleotide transfer RNA is filed under the name Agelas schmidtii (Pipes of Pan sponge). RNAcentral's name for it is "tRNA-Trp". It matches the Rfam family "tRNA". From Rfam's summary of the family: Transfer RNA (tRNA) molecules are approximately 80 nucleotides in length. Their secondary structure includes four short double-helical elements and three loops (D, anti-codon, and T loops). Further hydrogen bonds mediate the characteristic L-shaped molecular structure. tRNAs have two regions of fundamental functional importance: the anti-codon, which is responsible for specific mRNA codon recognition, and the 3' end, to which the tRNAs corresponding amino acid is attached (by aminoacyl-tRNA synthetases). tRNAs cope with the degeneracy of the genetic code in two manners: having more than one tRNA (with a specific anti-codon) for a particular amino acid; and 'wobble' base-pairing, i.e. permitting non-standard base-pairing at the 3rd anti-codon position. The record is from RNAcentral. Lineage: Eukaryota; Metazoa; Porifera; Demospongiae; Agelasida; Agelasidae.
AGAAGAUUGGGUUAAUGGUAGACUAGUAGCCUUCAAAGUUAAAAGUGUUGGUUCGAUUCCAGCAUCUUCUG